UACAGAGGGGGCGAGCGUUGUUCGGAAUUACUGGGCGUAAAGGGCGCGUAGGCGGCCUUCUAAGUCGAACGUGAAAUCCCCGGGCUCAACCCGGGAACUGCGUCCGAUACUGGGAGGCUUGAAUCCGGGAGAGGGAUGUGGAAUUCCAGGUGUAGCGGUGAAAUGCGUAGAUAUCUGGAGGAACACCGGUGGCGAAGGCGGCUUUCUGGGUCUCACCUGACGCUGAGGAACGAAAGCCAGGGGAGCGAACGGG
Molecule: ribosomal RNA, 253 nt
Filed under: uncultured bacterium
Lineage: Bacteria
Description: partial 16S ribosomal RNA
Rfam family: Bacterial small subunit ribosomal RNA
Source: RNAcentral